CUUAAAGCAAGCACAAGUCCUGUACAAGUCAAGUCCAGCAUAUCUAGGCCAAAGCCUGAAAGUCUGCAGCCACAUCAAAUCUGCAAGAGUUGAUGGUAUCAAGGAGUUAAGACCAUUCACUUUCUGCUCACUGCUGCCAACUCUGAUAGACAGCAUUGCUGUAGUAAUUCAUCUGGAAUCCCAUGGAAUCUUCUAGAAUAUAGGGCCCAACCGGACCGGCGAGACUGGGAAAGAAAAUUGUCCAAGUUAUGAAGUAACAUUCAAGCAUUGUGCCUGAUGGACUCGUCAAAAAAAGUUUAAUUGCAACCAAGCUAGCCUCUCACUGAUCACACAGGAAGGAAGGGGGAAAUAAACUGUAUUCAGAGAGUGAGACAGGAUGUCACAGUUACAAGGGUAACCCCUCAGAUGAUAUGGAGAGAUCUAUACAGUAUGGAUAAUAACAUUAAAUCAGCUGUUUUUUUGUUCAGAAUCACUUUCCAGAAUUGUACAAUCAGCAAUGGAAAACAUGAGCAGGAUUAAGUGUCAUAGUAAAGCUUUCUGAAACCACAACAAAUGAAUGUGCGGUGCUGUGAAGUAAUUCGGGACCCAAACCAUCCAGCCAAGAGACAAGGGGGAACAUGGGAUUUAACAGUGAGAUGUUCCACUGCCAGCAUCCAA
Hyla sarda is the source of this 657-nucleotide long non-coding RNA. RefSeq lists it as uncharacterized. The record is from RefSeq and is a predicted model, not a curated record. Lineage: Eukaryota; Metazoa; Chordata; Amphibia; Anura; Hylidae. The transcript has 6 exons.